UGAGGCCCCUCAAUCUGCAUCCCGUGCAAUAUAAGACGGUUAUUGACAAAUUUGCUGCUGUUGCCAUUCUCCAGGGUUUCCUGGACUUCGCAAACAGGAAUCUCAAGCUAAGGGAACAGGAAAAAUCAUGAUGUACUGGUUUUUGUACGACAGCUUGGCCUAGCAUUGGAUGGUGGUUGUCCUAAAGCAUCAAUUUCUCACUGUUUAUAUUAUUACCAGGCAAUACACGCCCCAGUUUCUGUUGCUGCUUUA
Long non-coding RNA from Nymphaea colorata (pocket water lily), 252 nucleotides. RefSeq lists it as uncharacterized. NCBI's taxonomy places the organism in Eukaryota, Viridiplantae, Streptophyta, Magnoliopsida, Nymphaeales, Nymphaeaceae. The record is from RefSeq and is a predicted model, not a curated record. The transcript is spliced from 2 exons.